Molecule: long non-coding RNA, 1113 nt
Organism: Mesocricetus auratus (golden hamster)
Lineage: Eukaryota; Metazoa; Chordata; Mammalia; Rodentia; Cricetidae
Exons: 4
Source: RefSeq, a predicted model, not a curated record
GAGCAUGACGUUGGUCCUGGUAACCAUUGUGAGCAUGUGACUCACUUAGGAUGCUAGGCACGGAGAAUCGUGAGCCACAGGGCAGGAGCCAGCGUCCCUGGGCACUGGUGGCAAGAGGGAAGGUGGGAAGUGACCAGACUCCCAGCGUCCUCUGCAGAGGGGCAGCGGGAGGUGCCAGGGGACUGCCCUCCCAUGCGGCAAAAGCCACGAGAAAGGUCUAGGUAGGUGACACCUCAGACCAAGAAGGAUGAACCAGAGAGCUUGAAAAACCAUUUUCUGGCUGAGGCGGACCACAGGCGCUAAGCUCCCACCGUGAGCCACCCGCGGUAGUACACACUCUUGAGCUUUGUAACCAUGGAAACUUUGGUGCUUACGGUCUGCACGGCUCUGCUGAGCUUGGUCUUCUUGCCUGACAGAUUACCUCUAAGAGUUUCUAGCCAUUAUGAAUAGAGCAACAACAAACACGGAUGAGCAAGGGUCCCUGUAGUGAGAUGCAGAAUCCUUUGGACACAGGCUCAGGAGGAGUGGCAGAGCUGGAUUUUGAGAGGCCUUGGAUUCGAUGGAUAACAAAGUUCCAAGAUUAUGGCCAAAUGAGAGACAUGUGAGGUGGCUGAAUGGGAGCCAAGCCCGGCAGAGGGGCCCACAGGCUCUGGGGCGUCCAAUUUUGUCUUCGUUCUCCUGCGAUUGUUGGAGUUGUCAUUACAUGCCAAUCUUAAGACCUUCUCCGGGGACAUCUGUUGGAUGCUCUUCAUGCCUGUGUGUGGUGAUCUCAUCCCAAAGCACAAGGUUUCCGUGGCCACGGUGGGGGCUGCCCCGCAACAGCCAGUUUCUGGGGCUUUCUGAGCAUCAGCUGCCGGCACGUCCCAGUGCGCACAGGCGGGCCUCCUCUAAUCAAGAGCUUAUUGCUUGGGUGGGACCCGUUGUUGACACUCUUAUUUAAAAUGUGCGCACACUUCCAAGCCCAAGCAUUCCAGGUGAAUGACCUCAGACUGAGGGUUUGAAAGAAACCAGAGAUGUUCUGACUUUCUGUUGGUUUCCUUUUUAAUCAAGUACUUAAAAAAAAAAAAAAAAGCAAAUCAGCACUUAGGAGGUGGAGGCAGGAGGAUUAGCAGU